GACGAACGCUGGCGGCGCGCCUAACACAUGCAAGUCGAACGGAGCUGAGAGAAGCUUGCUUUUCUUAGCUUAGUGGCGAACGGGUGAGUAACGCGUGAGUAACCUGCCCUGGAGUGGGGGACAACAGUUGGAAACGACUGCUAAUACCGCAUAAGCCCACGAUCCGGCAUCGGAUUGAGGGAAAAGGAUUUAUUCGCUUCAGGAUGGACUCGCGUCCAAUUAGCUAGUUGGUGAGGUAACGGCCCACCAAGGCGACGAUUGGUAGCCGGACUGAGAGGUUGAACGGCCACAUUGGGACUGAGACACGGCCCAGACUCCUACGGGAGGCAGCAGUGGGGGAUAUUGCACAAUGGGGGAAACCCUGAUGCAGCGACGCCGCGUGGAGGAAGAAGGUUUUCGGAUUGUAAACUCCUGUCGUUAGGGACGAUAAUGACGGUACCUAACAAGUAAGCACCGGCUAACUACGUG
Molecule: ribosomal RNA, 468 nt
Filed under: uncultured bacterium
Lineage: Bacteria
Description: partial 16S ribosomal RNA
Rfam family: Bacterial small subunit ribosomal RNA
Source: RNAcentral